GACAAUGUAGCGGGGCUCAAGCACACCACCGAAGACGCGGCAGUAUUUUGUACUGGGUAGGAGAGCGUCCCAUGAGGGGCGAAGCGGCCGUGUGAACGCGCCGUGGACUUCAUGGGAGUGAGAAUGCAGACAUGAGUAGCGAGAGACGGGUGAAGAUCCCGUCCGCUGGAUGACCAAGGGUUCCAGGGCCACGUUCAUCGUCCCUGGGUGAGUCGGGUCCUAAGGCGAGGCCGACAGGCGUAGUCGAAUGGAUGAACGGGUCGAUAUUCCCGUACCGGCUUUCAGCCGCCAAAACCGAGGCUUGGAGUACUAACCUCCGGGUCCGGGCUUACUGCUCCUUCGGGGGCGGGAUGCCCUGGCCUGUUGGGACCGAUCCUUGUAGUAGGUCAGCGCAGGAGUGACGCAGAAGGGUAGCCGGCCGCGGAGGUGGUCUUCCGUGGUCAAGCACGCAGGGCGUGGGACAGGCAAAUCCGUCCCGCAUGGGUCCGAGGUGCGAUGAUGGGGGCCUUAUGGCCCGAUAUCCGGUGAUCCCGGCUGCCGAGAAAAGCUUCGGCGUCAGGCUCAAAGCCGCCCGUACCCCAAACCGACACUGGUGGUCAGGUAGAGAAUACCAAAGCGAUCGAGCGAAUCCUGGUCAAGGAACUCGGCAAAUCACUCCCGUUCCUUCGGUUUAAGGGAGACCCCCGAUGGUGAACACACUUGCUGUGGGAGCUUUUGGGGGUGGCACAGACCAGGGGGUAGCGACUGUUUACCAAAAACACAGGUGCAUGCGAAGGCGCAAGCCGCUGUAUAUGCACUGACGCCUGCCCGGUGCCGGAAGGUUAAGAGGAGAGCUUAGCGCAAGCGAAGGUUUGAAUUUAAGCCCCAGUAAACGGCGGCCGUAACUAUAACGGUCCUAAGGUAGCGAAAUUCCUUGUCGGGUAAGUUCCGACCCGCACGAAAGGCGUAAUGAUUUGAGCGCUGUCUCGACAAUGCAUCCGGUGAAAUUGAAGUACCAGUGAAGAUGCUGGUUACCCGCGCCAGGACGGAAAGACCCCAUGGAGCUUUACUCCAGCUUGAUACUGGGAUUCGGUAUUGCAUGUACAGGAUAGGUGGGAGGCUAGGAAGUGAUAACGCCAGUUGUCACGGAGCCGCUGUUGGGAUACCACCCUUGCAGUACUGGGCUUCUAACCAGCCGCCGUGAACCGGCGGUGGGACAAUGCCAGACGGGGAGUUUGACUGGGGCGGUCGCCUCCGAAAGGGUCACGCUUUCCACCUGCGGAUGAUUCACCCCGUGCCGGCUGUACCCGAUGCAGCGCAUUCCGAGCGCCGUCGCGAUUUCCGCCGUCCGCUUGCCGAUGCGCCCACAGCCGAGCAGACCCAGCGUCUGUCCGCGCAGACUGCGCCCCAUGUUUCUGCCCAUGCCGAACAGGUUUUCCGGCGCUUCCGCCCGCACGCGGAGGCUGUUUUCCCCAAUUCUGCGCGAAACUGCAAGCAUCAGCCCGAUGGCGAGCUCCGCCGUGCUGUCCGUCACGGUGUCGGGCAGGUUCGUGACCGGUAUGCCGCAUUCCGCCGCUGCGCGCACGUCCACGCCGUCAUAGCCCGCGCCAUAGCCCGCGAUAAUGCGCAGCUUCGUCCCCCUGCGGAUGAUUUCGCCCGGCAGCGCGCCGCACGCAACGACCGCAUCCGCCGCCGGAAUCAGCGCCGCGAGUUCGUCCUGUGAAAACUGCAUGAGCGGCUUCGGAAUCAC
Molecule: ribosomal RNA, 1729 nt
Filed under: human gut metagenome
Description: bacterial LSU rRNA
Rfam family: Bacterial large subunit ribosomal RNA (bases 1-1318)
Source: RNAcentral